UACGUAGGGUGCAAGCGUUAAUCGGAAUUACUGGGCGUAAAGCGUGCGCAGGCGGUGAUGUAAGACAGAUGUGAAAGCCCUGGGCUCAACCCAGGAACUGCAUUUGAAACUCCCUUUCUUGAGUGUCGGAGAGGAAAGCGGAAUUCCUGGUGUAGAGGUGAAAUUCGUAGAUAUCAGGAGGAACACCGGUGGCGAAGGCGGCUUUCUGGACGACAACUGACGCUGAGACGCGAAAGCGUGGGGAGCAAACAGG
RNAcentral lists this ribosomal RNA (253 nucleotides) under uncultured bacterium. RNAcentral's name for it is "partial 16S ribosomal RNA". It matches the Rfam family "Bacterial small subunit ribosomal RNA", at positions 524 to 776 of the family's 1533-position model. The record is from RNAcentral.